CUCCCUCUCCCCAACAGAGCAAGUGCGAAGUGCGAAUGCGUCAACUGUACCCCGGCCUGCCUCUUCCCGUCCUGCGAACGCGUCUGGACCACACGCCCACGCCCACCAGAGUUAUCGUGGCCGCCCACUGCAAGCACAAAUUCUAAGCUUUAUUGGGAGUGAAAGAAUAAACGCACGUGUGGGAGGAAAAUAAAGGAGGUAGAGUGAUGUAAAAUGAUGGACGGAUUCUAAAUAACUGCUAUUUCCAUCUGUAAAGAAAAUGGAUUUAAAAAUAUAUAUAAUCACGUCAAUCCUUUUUUCAUCAUCUUUUUCCCGAGAUUUUAUCUAAGAUGGAAAAUGCAAUUAGAGAGAAAAAAAAUCUUAUCAGUUUUAUCUCUCCUUUGAUUAUUCUGGAAGCAACGACCUGGAGAUUUUAAGCUUCAUAUAAACUUUGUGUUGUUGCAGUAAAUUUUAUUUUAUGUUGCAUGGUAUGUUAGUCUGCAAUGAGCACACAGAUCUGUCAGUCAAAAUGUGAUUAAAUCUUAAAGGAAGUAAA
This is a long non-coding RNA of Penaeus monodon (black tiger shrimp), 535 nucleotides long. RefSeq lists it as uncharacterized. The transcript is spliced from 2 exons. The record is from RefSeq and is a predicted model, not a curated record. Lineage: Eukaryota; Metazoa; Arthropoda; Malacostraca; Decapoda; Penaeidae.